RNAcentral lists this ribosomal RNA (453 nucleotides) under uncultured Skermanella sp. RNAcentral's name for it is "partial 16S ribosomal RNA". Lineage: Bacteria; Pseudomonadati; Pseudomonadota; Alphaproteobacteria; Rhodospirillales; Azospirillaceae. The record is from RNAcentral.
CACGAAGUUAGCCGGGGCUUCUUCUCACGCUACCGUCAUCAUCGUCGCGUGCGAAAGGGCUUUACAACCCGAAGGCCUUCAUCACUCACGCGGCAUUGCUGGAUCAGGCUUGCGCCCAUUGUCCAAUAUUCCCCACUGCUGCCUCCCGUAGGAGUCUGGGCCGUGUCUCAGUCCCAGUGUGGCUGAUCAUCCUCUCAGACCAGCUAAGGAUCGUUGCCUUGGUAGGCCGUUACCCCACCAACAAGCUAAUCCUACGCGGGCCCAUCCCAUGGCGAUAAAUCUUUGUCCCUCAAGACACAUACGGUAUUAGCUCCAGUUUCCCGGAGUUAUUCCGUACCACAGGGCAGGUUCCCACGCGUUACUCACCCGUGCGCCACUAGGGCCGAAGCCCUCGUUCGACUUGCAUGUGUUAGGCAUGCCGCCAGCGUUCGUUCUGAGCCAGGAUCAAACUCU